GUUUCCGUAGGUGAACCUGCGGAAGGAUCAUUAUCGAAAAAAAGUUGCUAUGUCUGUGGUACGCUGUAAACAAACUCAAAGCACCCGUCGUGGGGUACCUGUCGUAACCAGCGUUUGUGAGGUUUAAAGAGGGGAAGCCUCCUUCCGCCCCCGACGGCGUUGUGUCUUCCUUUCUCUGUACGGUAUCAUAAAGGUGACCAUCGAUUGCAGGUGUUGGCAAUCUGAACACGAGAAAAACUCUAAGCGGUGGAUCACUCGGCUCGUGUGUCGAUGAAGGGCGCAGCCAGCUGCGUGAACUAAUGUGAAUUGCAGGACACAUUGAACGUCGACAUCUUGAACGCACAUUGCGGUCUCGGGUCACUCCCGGGACCACGCCCGUCUCAGGGUCGGCAGAAACACUUGGCACGCCGAUUGGGGACUGGGUAGUGAUGUACUACUACUGCCCGGUCCCUCGAACGUACCGCCGCACGGCUGUCCUGGCGAAAGCCUGUCGUGCGAGCCCACCACGAUGCGACCUGAGAUCGGACGAGAC
RNAcentral lists this ribosomal RNA (532 nucleotides) under Ceratocephale abyssorum. RNAcentral's name for it is "eukaryotic LSU rRNA". The stretch from base 236 to 389 matches the Rfam family "5.8S ribosomal RNA". Lineage: Eukaryota; Metazoa; Annelida; Polychaeta; Phyllodocida; Nereididae. The record is from RNAcentral.